GGCAGCACGGGGGCAACCCUGGUGGCGAGUGGCGAACGGGUGAGUAAUAUAUCGGAACGUACCCAGUAGUGGGGGAUAACUAUCCGAAAGGAUAGCUAAUACCGCAUACGAUCUGUGGAUGAAAGCAGGGGAUCUUCGGACCUUGUGCUAUUGGAAUGGCCGAUAUCUGAUUAGCUAGUUGGUAGGGUAAAAGCCUACCAAGGCGACGAUCAGUAGCUGGUCUGAGAGGACGACCAGCCACACUGGAACUGAGACACGGUCCAGACUCCUACGAGAGGCAGCAGUGGGGAAUUUUGGACAAUGGGGGCAACCCUGAUCCAGCAAUGCCGCGUGAGUGAAGAAGGCCCUCGGGUUGUAAAGCUCUUUUGUCAGGGAAGAAACGGUGAUCUCUAAUAUAGAUUGCUAAUGACGGUACCUGAAGAAUAAGCACCGGCUAACUACGUGCCAGCAGCCGCGGUAAUACGUAGGGUGCAAGCGUUAAUCGGAAUUACUGGGCGUAAAGCGUGCGCAGGCGGUUUUGUAAGUCUGAUGUGAAGUCCCUGGGCUCAACCUGGGAACUGCAUUGGAGACUGCAAGGCUAGAGUGUGUCAGAGGGGGGUAGAAUUCCACGUGUAGCAGUGAAAUGCGUAGAGAUGUGGAGGAAUACCGAUGGCGAAGGCAGCCCCCUGGGAUAACACUGACGCUCAUGCACGAAAGCGUGGGGAGCAAACAGGAUUAGAUACCCCGGUAGUNNNNNNNNUAAACGAUGUCUACUAGUUGUCGGGACUUAAUUGUCUUGGUAACGCAGCUAACGC
Molecule: ribosomal RNA, 794 nt
Filed under: uncultured Oxalobacteraceae bacterium
Lineage: Bacteria; Pseudomonadati; Pseudomonadota; Betaproteobacteria; Burkholderiales; Oxalobacteraceae
Description: bacterial SSU rRNA
Rfam family: Bacterial small subunit ribosomal RNA
Source: RNAcentral